This 19015-nucleotide long non-coding RNA is filed under the name Lathyrus oleraceus (garden pea). Its description in RNAcentral is "Pisum sativum (pea) long non-coding RNA (PSAT_LNC011288)". The record is from RNAcentral. Lineage: Eukaryota; Viridiplantae; Streptophyta; Magnoliopsida; Fabales; Fabaceae.
UAUUCUAAUCAAUUUCAAAUUUCUAAUAUUAAAUCCCAAUAUUAUUACAGAGUUUGGAGUACAUUUAAAAUAAGUUGAAAAUUGGAAUAAGCUGUAAAAACAGCAGUCUAAAGUAGCAAAUCUUCAAGGACUUCGUCAAAGCUAAUGGUUGAAAUUCACGCUCCAAUUUUAGCCUCCAAAGCUGGCGCCGCCCUCCCUUCACUCAAUAUCCACUCACCUUUUGCAAACCUGCAAAACCAAUUCACAAUUUAAAAAAAACAGCUUAUCCAAAUAAGCACUUUAAAAACUAGAAAAUAAAGGAUGGAACAAAUAGAUUAGCUCUUUACACAACAAACCAAGAAGAACGUUCAAAGAUCACAUUCCAAUAUCCAAACCAACAACCUUAAAUCCAUAAGAUUAAUCAUCCCACAAAAUCUGGAGAAAGGAUAGCUUGGAAAGUUAUCUUAUAACCAACAAUGAGCAUAUAUAAACAAGAAAAAAUUAAUUAACAAGACACGUUCUGAAAAACUGAGAGAAAUUGCUAAAAAGAUUUUUCUCUGUUAAAACCACAAACAAAAGAACAAGGCAUAGGUUUUUCGACAGAUUCAACAGGAUAACCAAAUAUUUCUCAACUCAAUCAAAGAUUUUUUCUUUGUUAAACUGAAACCAAAUAGAAGAAACUUUUUUUUCCAGAGAACAAUCAAACAAUAAUCCAUAAAAACCUCUAAACCCUAAGACACCAAGCCAAGCAACAACAACACUCAAAGCAAAAAUAAAAGAAAGUGAAAAAUAGAAGAAGAUGGAGAACUUAUCUUAAACCGUGGGGAGCUUCGUCGGGGUUGAAUUUCAAACAAGUAAUUUUUUCCUCCUUCGUUAAAGUCUUUGCAUCAUCAUCAUUUACGCCUCUUCAUACUGGAUGAGAUCUUUCUUUUAAUUUCUUCAAAACUUUGCUGUAGAACUUCAGAUCUUGAAUCUAGGGUUAGGUUUUGGGUGUUUAAGUUUUUGGUUAAGGUUAAGAACGAAUCAAGCUACGUUUGGCCAUAUGAGAAGGAGAGUUUAGGGUUAGUUUUGGUAUUUCGAGGGAGGGCCUCGAUCCGGCCAUUUGAGGAACAAAUCGGAAAAAGCGAGUUCAUAUUUGAACUCAGAGGCAAAAAUAAAGGUGAGGUUUUUUUGUUGUUGUUAGGGUUGAGGGCGGUGGUCACCGGAGAAGACGGUGGCGGCCGCCGCGCGCCGCCGCUUCUCCGAUGAAGGUUGAACGGAGAAGAUGAAAGGAGUUGCAGAGCAACUCUGGUUAUUCUUGAAGAGAGAGAAUUAUUUUUAACAAAUGAAGCGCUUAAGCGCUUUUCCGCUGGUUUUAGGCAAAAGAACUUUAGGUCAGCCUCCCUCAUUGGGAGAAACCUGUUUUCCAACGGUGGGCUUCCAGUCCAGGCCCAAUUGGUCUUUUGUUUAUUUUAGCACCCCAUUUUCAUUUUAUUUUUUUACUAUUUUAUUAUUAUUUGUUGUAUAUUUUGAUUGGGCCUAAGGAAGACCCAUCUUCUUUUCAAGACUGUUAUUUUUCUACAUAUAUGACUUUUUUUUUAUUCAAAUUAAAUAGACAUUUUAGGAUAUAUAAUUAAUUAAUCUUUGAAAAUAUUUUAGAAUUUAAUUAGAUUUCUUUUUUUAGAAAUAAUUGUAGAUUAAUUAGAAUUAUAAGGUGAUUUAGAAUUAUUUUAGAAUUUUUAAUUUAAUUUAGAAUGAUUUUAGAAUUUAAACUUUGAAAAUAUUUAUAACUUAAUUAGAUUUUUUUUAGAGAUAAUUGUAGAUUAAUUAGAAUUAUAAGUUAAUUUAGAAUUAUUUUAGAUUUUUUAAUUUGAUUUAGAAUGAUUUUAGAUUUUAGUCUUUGUUAAUAUUUUAGAAUUUAAUUAGAUCUUUUUAAGAAAUAAUUGUAGAUUAAUUAGAAUUAUAAGUUGAUUUAGAAUUAUUUUAGAAUUUUUAAUUUAAUUUAGAAUGAUUUUAGAAUUUAAACUUUGAAAAUAUUUAUAACUUAAUUAGAUUUUUUUUAGAAAUAAUUGUAGAUUAAUUAGAAUUAUAAGUUAAUUUAGAAUUAUUUUAGAUUUUUUAAUUUGAUUUAGAAUGAUUUUAGAUUUUAAUCUUUGUUAAUAUUUUAGAAUUUAAUUAGAUCUUUUUUAGAAAUAAUUGUAGAUUAAUUAGAAUUAUAAGUUGAUUUAGAAUUAUUUUAGAAUUUUUAAUUUAAUUUAGAAUGAUUUUANNNNNNNNNNNNNNNNNNNNNNNNNNNNNNNNNNNNNNNNNNNNNNNNNNNNNNNNNNNNNNNNNNNNNNNNNNNNNNNNNNNNNNNNNNNNNNNNNNNNNNNNNNNNNNNNNNNNNNNNNNNNNNNNNNNNNNNNNNNNNNNNNNNNNNNNNNNNNNNNNNNNNNNNNNNNNNNNNNNNNNNNNNNNNNNNNNNNNNNNNNNNNNNNNNNNNNNNNNNNNNNNNNNNNNNNNNNNNNNNNNNNNNNNNNNNNNNNNNNNNNNNNNNNNNNNNNNNNNNNNNNNNNNNNNNNNNNNNNNNNNNNNNNNNNNNNNNNNNNNNNNNNNNNNNNNNNNNNNNNNNNNNNNNNNNNNNNNNNNNNNNNNNNNNNNNNNNNNNNNNNNNNNNNNNNNNNNNNNNNNNNNNNNNNNNNNNNNNNNNNNNNNNNNNNNNNNNNNNNNNNNNNNNNNNNNNNNNNNNNNNNNNNNNNNNNNNNNNNNNNNNNNNNNNNNNNNNNNNNNNNNNNNNNNNNNNNNNNNNNNNNNNNNNNNNNNNNNNNNNNNNNNNNNNNNNNNNNNNNNNNNNNNNNNNNNNNNNNNNNNNNNNNNNNNNNNNNNNNNNNNNNNNNNNNNNNNNNNNNNNNNNNNNNNNNNNNNNNNNNNNNNNNNNNNNNNNNNNNNNNNNNNNNNNNNNNNNNNNNNNNNNNNNNNNNNNNNNNNNNNNNNNNNNNNNNNNNNNNNNNNNNNNNNNNNNNNNNNNNNNNNNNNNNNNNNNNNNNNNNNNNNNNNNNNNNNNNNNNNNNNNNNNNNNNNNNNNNNNNNNNNNNNNNNNNNNNNNNNNNNNNNNNNNNNNNNNNNNNNNNNNNNNNNNNNNNNNNNNNNNNNNNNNNNNNNNNNNNNNNNNNNNNNNNNNNNNNNNNNNNNNNNNNNNNNNNNNNNNNNNUAUUCGAUUUUAAUUAAUUCAAUUCAUUCAUAAGAACACAAAUUUUAAAACCUCGAUCCGACAUCGAAAGUUAAAUUAAAAUACUUAAUCACAUUUAAAACAACACUUCAUUUGAAAAUGAAAAGGGGGAUGGUUUUGAGUUUUCAACUCCUCUCCUCGAUUAUUUGAAUACGAGUUUUCUUACUCGGUUAGUCAAAUGGUUGUCAUUUCUAAUUCACUUAAGAACAAAUAAAUCAAAUUCUUUUAUAAUAAAAAAUGAAAAGGGAGAUGACUUUGAGUCUUCAAUUUUUCUCCUCGAUUAUUUGAAUACAAGUUCUCUUACUUGGUUAGUCGAAUAAUCGUCGUUCCUCUACAAACUUCUAAGCCCGAUUAAAUCAAAUUAUUUUCAUAAUAAGCUAAAUGAAAAAGGAGAUGACCUUGAGUUUUCAACUUCUCUCCUCAAUAAUACGAGUUCUCUUACUCGGUCAGUCGAACAAUUGUCAUUUUUUACAAACAUACAACUUAAUCAAAUCAUUUUCAUAACAAACUGUACGAAAAGGGAGAUGGUCUUGAGUUUUCAAUUCCUCUUCUCAAAUGCUUGGAUAUGAGUUGUUUUACUCAGUCAUUCAAGCACUUGUCGUUCAUUCUAAAAAAUACAUCAACCAUACAUAAACCUAUUUUCAUAAUCACUCAGAUGAAAAAGAAAGUUGUCUAGAGUCUUCUAUUCCCUUUCCCGAUUAUUGGGAUACGAGUUGUCUUACUCGAUUAUUCGAGUAUUCGUCAUCCUUUCAAAACACCUUAAUUAUUAUCCAAUCCUUUCUAUAAUUAAGGGUGAAAAAGAAGGUGGUCUAGAGUCUUCUAUUCCCUUUCCCGACUUUAGGAUAUGAGUUGUCUUACUCGAAUAUCCGAGUAAUCGUCAUCCAACCAAAAAUAUAUCAACCAAACAAAAUAUCUAACAUAUUAAUCCAACUUAUCACCCUCGUGUGAUCAAAACUCUUUUAAAAAAAGAACACUAUUUAAUCCUUUCUGAUGCGCACAACAAACUAAUGCUUAAGCCUCCGCCGAGAGUAGACAAGCCAAUGUUUAGCCUUUAGGAUGCGAUCUAAGCAGUUGUUCAUUAAAAAACACCAACCAACCGUAGUUUCCCCGAACUACGAAUGCUCUGAUUUCCUUAUUAUACCAUAAGGAUACGUAGGCAGGAGAUUGUUGUAUCUUCGCGAGCACACUAAUAAAAAACCUCCCCUUUCUGAGGUUCUCAUCCAUUUCUAUUUUUAAUAAUUUUAUAACCCAAAGAUAAUAAACAAACAUAAAUUAACACACGAAACGCACAUUAGAACUAAAAGGUUCCCGUUGAGUACAACGGACUCUGAGGUUCUCAUCCAUUUCUAUUUUUAAUAAUUUUAUAACCCAAAGAUAAUAAACAAACAUAAAUUAACACACGAAACGCACAUUAGAACUAAAAGGUUCCCGUUGAGUACAACGGACGUAAGGGGGGUUAAUACCUUCCCCUUACGUAAUCCACUCCCGAACCCGAAUAUGGUUGCGAUGACCAUUAUUCCAUUUCCUAAAGGUUUUAUCGAUAUUUUCCUAUUCCUUCAUUGGGAUAAAUAAAGUUUGGUGGCGACUCUAUUCGAAUGAAAUUUUUUCCGCGACCAUCGUGAGGAAUCGUAUUUUUUGAGAUGCGACAGAGGGGGUUGACUACAGAUUAACUUCUUAUUUCUUCAGUAUUUGGGGAAUUAAAUAAUGCCUUACAUCGUCAACUAGGUCUUAUCAAUAAAAUCAUACGUCGACAAGUUCUGUUAUUUUAAUUACAUCAUUCUCCUCUUAAGUUUGUUAAUAGGUGAAAAACGAAACAAAGAGGCGUUGAUUUUUUAUUUUUAUGAUGGCAUAAGAAUGAGUGAAAAUGAAUGGAUUGAUUCCAAAAAUGAAUGCUCAUUCUAUUAGAAUUACUUUUCAAAGAGUACAAAUUUUAAAUAUAAACAACACUUAGCAAAAAGAAAUUACAACUGGCAAUGAUAAAGUCUAUUGAUCCUAGGGGUGACCUUAUUUAGGAGACGCUUCUUGAAGUUCUUGCACUUCUAAAGAUAAGGGCUGACCGUUCACCAAUGGGACUCCUCUUUCAAAAGUCAAUUGUAGGUCUAUCAGGUCUUGAACUUUGUAUUCAUACCGAACAUUCUCGUCAUAACUUAUAGCAUAUGGACGAGGAGGAGGAUCAAGUGAUUGUAGCUUCACUAGGGUAUCUCUGAGCAAACACUGAAGUAGUUGACCAUAAGACUUUGGUAUAUGAUCCACCUUCUUUUCCAGCUUCCUUUUUCGUGGCAGGACACACUGAUAUCAUGAUCGAUGAGGUGUAUGAGGAUACAGCUGCAAAUUUUGUUAUGGAGGCAUCAUCCAGGGUUGUUGUAUUUGAAGCAUUGGGUAGGCAUGUGGAUGGCAUGACGAAGGGUUUCCCUCUCUCUUCAAUGGUACUUUCCCCUCUUGAGUCCCUCCAUAGUUUCUUGGGACAUGUGGCAAGUUCAUUUGUGAGUAUUAGGGAAUCUGCUAGCUAAAUAGUUGGAGGAAGGUCGAAAGCGGAAAGGGUAUGCAAAUAUAUGUGUAUGUAUGCAAAUACAUGAAAAUGCAUGGGUAUGCAAAAAUAUUUUUCCUUCGUUUUUUAAGUAUGCUAAAAUUGUUUUCAUGGAGAUGUAAUUCAAUACGAGGUUAGGAUAAAGAUAGACCUAAGGAAACCCAAACGGGUUUAGGGAUAGCGACAAACAUAUGGAAACCCAUAUGGGUUUAGGGAUUGCCACUAACAAAAGGAAACUGUUACGAGUUUAGGAUAAUGAUGGAUACAGAACCCACAUAUGGCUUUCAGGAUAAUGCCGAAUAUAAAGACACCUUGUUUACGAAGGCUCCUUAUAGAUAUGGAUAAUGAUCGGCAUGGGAAACCAAACAGAUUUAGGGAUAGGAAGGUAAUAUGAAAGCAUGCGCUAGAUAAGGUAGUCUUUCUAUGACAUGUUAGUUCUAAGUUUAAACUACUCAAUCCCCUCACUUUUAAGCGUUAGGGUUUCAUUUGGUUGUUUUUAGAACAAACCUAAGGUCAUGGACCCUAGGCGAAAAUUCAUAAUGAUAGGGCGUAGCCCUUCCAUAAUAAAAUUUUAACAGGGUCUCCCUUAGGGAGCCUUCGCAUAAACGAAGUCUCACGUUCGGGGUUCUAGAAGAGGUCCCUAGAGUCAUGGAUCAAGCUCAAAGUUUCAUCAUAAAGAAAUGUUAGCCAACUCAUGACAAACUCUUGAUUUGCUCUAGGCGGAAUCAUCACCAAAGACCCCAUGGGAUGAGAACCCUAGUGGCCAAGAUAGGACCACCCCUUACUUAACUUAUGUGUUUCCUCGAGCUCGGGUAUAGAGCUUUCUCUCAGACAAAGAUAAAACCCAUGGAUAGUAAUGACAAAAUAUAAAUAUAAUAAAGAAAAUAGAAAUAAAUAAAUAAAAUAAUGCAAGAAAGAAUAACAACGAGUUAAAGAAUAAAAAUAAGAAUAAACUAGAUAAACAAACAACCCUAGAACUAAAGGGUGAGCUAGACUCUCUUUAGAGAAUGGUCCCCAGCAGAGUCGCCAGCUAUCGCGGCUGGAAAAAUCACAUAGUCACCACCAUAUUUUAUUCAUUCCUAAGGAAUAAGGGAAAUAAUGAUAAAAACCUAAAGGAAAGGAUAAGACAGUCAUUGCAACCGAAUAUGGUUUCGGGAGUCAGUUAAGUGAGGGGAAGAUGUUAGACACCCAUCACCUACGUUGUACUCAACGAGAACCUCCUCUAGUUCUAAGGUUAAUGGUUUGUUUGCAGGUGUUUAUUUUAAUUAUUUAUUUCUUGCCUAUUUAGUUACAACGAGAAGGGAAUGUACGAAGAGAUAAAAUGGGAAAAGAGUUAGUUUUAGGUUAGGGGACUUGUCUUGGUUUCACAACAUUGUCCCUACGUAUUUCUCAUUGAGUGAUGAGAAAAGUCAUAUUCAUCGUAGUUCGCAGAGUGUGGUUAGUGUUUUUUAUAAAACUAUGUUAAAUCUCCUUCGAGCGAUUGACUUGUGCCUGAAAUUUGAAUUGAAUGGAUGGUAGGUUAGCCUUUACUUCACAUUUAAGGGACCGGUCAGUUCUUUAUUGAAAAAAGUCUUUGAUUUUAUUAUGUUAGUGAAAAUGUUUUUGUGUUCGUUAGCUUGUUUAACCUAGUUCUAAGGGGGAAUAUGAUUGGUUCGGAAAACGAAAAUAGAAGUCCUAAUGUUCUAAUUUUUUUUAAAAUAGUUGAGUAUUGAAAGUAAAGUUAAUUAUAAACUCAUAAAUCUAAAAUUAAGUUCAUAUUUUAAUAAACAAAAAGGUUUCGAAUUAGAUAAUAAAUAUUAAAUGGUAAGAAAAUUAUUAUUUUUAAACCUAAAAUAACCCUAAUAAGUUAAUUUGAAAAUAAAAUUUUAAUUAAAUAUUUAUAAAAAGAUAAAAAGGAAGUUUGAAAAAAUAAUGAUGUUUUAAAUAAAGGAAAAAGGGUAUGAAUAAGUUAUUUACGAAAAAAGAAGAAGAUGAAUGAUAAAGAAUAUGGAUUUAAUAGUUUAGUUUUAAAAAGAGAAGUUUUGAAUUAUUACAAUAAAUAAAUCUAAAAAAGAAAUUAUUAAUUAAACCCUAAAUUUAGUCUAAAAUUAUAACUUAGAAUAGAAUUAGCCAUUUAGAAUUUUCUUUUAUAUCUAACCUAAAAUUGACAAUUAAUUAUUAAAAUAAUAAUAACUAAAAAAAUUAAAAUAACGAUUAUGAAAUAUCAGGAAAAUAUCAAACAAUUAUGAAUGAGACAGUAAGGAAAACCAACCUACGAGAGCCAGAUUUCUCUCGAUGAGAAAAAAAAUAUAAACUUCUUUUAAAUUCUUGUCCUUCUUUGUGCUUUUAGCUUUGACUUCCCCUUGAACUUUCCUAUUUCUCGUGCUUUCGGAAGAAUGGACGAUGGAGUUUUUCUUUUAGGAUUUAGUGUUGUUGUUCCUGAAAAGCAACAACUUUUAUGGUUGUUCGUGAAGAGAAACAACUUUUUGGAGAGAAAAUUUGUAAGUUUGUUGAAGAUCGUCUAUAGGCAAUAUGAAAUGAAGAGAGGUCUAUUUAUAGGAAAACUUUAGGUCAAAAAUUAGUUUUUUAUCUAUCAAUCUGGAGAGAAUCUGUAUGAAUCUGAUUUGAAAAGAUGGUUUAGUUUGUCUGGGUGAACAAGUCUAGGAAUCUAGAUAGAUUUUGUGCAUUUGUGCAAGGUUUGAUUCAAUUUGAAAAAGAUCUUAUAUAUUUUUGGUUUUUUUACUAUUUUUUUACAUAAAAUAAUAAAAAAUUAAUUUUAAAAAUGCCUAAAAAUAAAAAACAAAAAUAAUAUUUAAAUAUUAAAAAAACAUUUUUUUAAAAGCAUAUAAAUUUUUUGAAAAUUAUAAAAAAUAUAACUUUUGAUUUGAUGUUUAACAAUAAUAAUAGAAAUAAUAAUGCUACUAUAACUACAAAUCAUAAAUCCUAGUAACUAAUAGGGAAAAGAAAAAAUGAUAAUAACAAUAAUUAUAAUGAUAACAAUAGUAUAAUAAUAAUAAUAAAGAAUGACAAUAAUAAUGAUAUUAUAAUAUUAAUGAAAAAAUCCUAAUAAUAAUGUUAAUGACAAUAAUAAAAAUCUAUCUUAAUCUAUAAAAAUGAUAAUAAAAUAAACUUCAUAAAAAUAUAAUGAUAACUAAAAAUAAUCUAAUAAUAAUGAUAUAAUAAAAAAAACAAGAAAAAUAUUUUUUUUUGUAAUUUUUGAGCAUUUGUGAUAAAUAAAAUGCAUAAAUUGAUAGAAGUAUUUUUUUAAAUAUAUUAAAAUAUAAAAAACGAAAAUUAAAAAUACAAUUUAUUUUAAUUUUUUUUUGUAAAAAAUAUAUAUAAAGAUAAAAGAGAAAAAUACACUAAAAAAAGAGAAAACUGAGAUUUUAGAUUUUGAUGUUCAAUGCUAAUUAUGUUCGAAUUGCUUUAGUUUAUCUUGAUUGAGAUUAUUGUGAUUUUGUGAGAUUUUUAGAAUGUAUUGGAUUUUAAUUUGAGAUUUUGUGAGUUUUAAAGAGAUUAAUAAAAGAAUGAUACAAAGAUCUAUUUUUGAAUUUUUUUGAAUUUUUUUAAUAAAAGAACAAUAAUAAAUCCUAAUAAAAUAAAUUAAUAGUAAUAGUACAAAUUCUAAUCCAAUAAUAAUAUAAUAGGAAUAGUGAUCAUAAAAUCUAGUAUUCUAAUUACUAAUAACUAAACAUAAUUAUAAGAAAUACUAUAAUAAUAAUAAUAAUAAGAAGAAAAUAAUGUUUAUAAUAUUAAUAAAACCUAAUAAUAAUAACUCCUAAUUAAUAAAUUUGAUAUAUAAAAAUUCAAAACGUGAAAAAUUUAAAAAUGUAAAUUAAAAUCUAAAAAAUAAAAAAGUUGAAAAAUCAGUUUUAGUAAAUACCCAUUUAAUAAAUUCGAAAAUACAAAAAAAAUAUUUAAAAUGAAAUAAAAUAUUUUUGUAAAUUUUAUAUUAUUUGAAUGAAAAAUGUAUAAAAUCAAGAAUUAAAUGAAAAUAUAAUAUUAAAAAGCCUUAAAAUUAAAAGCAAAUAUUAACAAUAAAAUGCAUCUUUUUUACUUUUGUUUUGUAAAUUAAUAAUAACCAUAAUGAUGAUAAUAACCUAAUAAUUUUAAAACAACAAUAAAACCUAAAUCAACAUUUCCUAAAUUUUAAAAUAAGAUAAUAGCAAAAAGAAAAUAAUAAAUUCUUAAAACUAUAAAAACUAAAAUCCUUUUGUGAAUUUUUUAAUUAUUUGACUAAUAUAUGCACAAAAUCAUGAAAUUAAAAAAUCUUUUAAAAAGUGCAAAGUAAAAGAAAAUGAAAAUUAAUAAUUAAGUCCUAAAAAACUUUUAUUUUUAUUUUUAAUUUUUAAUAACAUAUAACAUAUUAAAAUUCCCACUCCUAAUAAUUAAACAUACUAAUAAUGAAAAUAAUACUACACAAGACCUCAUGCUUGAACCUCUUUGAAUUAUCUCUUUACUACCAAAUAGGCUAUCUCAUUUAUUCGUGAUAAAUGGUUACUAAAACCCAUAUAUUAGUAAAAUGCUCGGACAAAAUUGGGACAUGACACCAGUAUGUUACCCAAAAAGGCGAUAAAAGGAAGUGUAUUGUCAGAAUAUCUUACCCACCAACCAGCAGAGGAUUAUCAUCCAAUACAUUUUGAAUUUCUAGAUAAAGAUAUUAUGUUUCUACAUAACGAGGAGGUCACAAAUGAAAAUAAAGAAACCAAACUGAAAGCUCGAUGGAAGCUUCUGUUGGAUGGUGCAUCAGAUGCCAUGCGGCAUGGAAUUGGGGUUGUGUUGAUCUCUCUAGAGAAUGGCUAUACCCAUUUUAUAGCAAGACUACGCUUUAACUAUGAAGCUAACGGAAAUAUACCCGAACGCAUCACACGCUCAAACAUACAACAAUUCGCCAUUAAACUUUAUUUAUUCCCGGAGGAAAGGGAAAAUAUCGAUAAAACCCGGGGAAAGAGAAACUGGAUAAGGAAGUCAGUUAUGCAAGGGGAAGGUAUUAGCAGCCCUCACAUCUGUUAUACUCAAUGAGAACCAUUUUGAUCGUUCUUUGCCUGAAUAAGUGGUAUAUCUAAUUAUUACUCGCGAAAGAAUAAAGGGAAAAGAAAAGAAUAGAUAGAGUGUUCGGUAAGGAUUAAGCCCCUCAUGCCUACGUAUCCUUAUAGUGCAAUAAGGAAUUCAGAGCUCCGUAGUCCAUAGAACUAAUGGUGAGAGGAGAAAAGAUUAUGUUGUUUGAACCCAUGAAGGGAUGAAAUCUGAACCCAAGAGUAAAAUUGGCAUUAACCAAUAUGUGGCAUGGCCAAAGCAUUAACCACUAUAUGGUACGACCGAAAACAAAGAGAAUUAAAUGUUUGGUAUAAGAGCAAACAACUCUUGGUUCACAAGAAGACAUUGGAUAAAGCUCAAAGAGAUAGUGUAUUCGGCUCAAAGAGAGAGUGUAUCAAAUAAAGUAAAUGAAGGUAAUAGGUAUUAAAUGAAUGAAUCAUGGAGAUGAAUGAAAUAAUAAAUAAAUAUUGCUCGCGGAAGAUUUGAAUUUACAUGCCUACGUAUUCUCACCGUGCAAUGAGAAAUUAAGAGCUCCGUAGUUCAUGGAACAACUAAAACAAAGGAAACCAUAAAGACAAAUGCUUUGAACCAAAGACAAAUGCUUUGAACCAAAGAGUAAAGGAAGUACAAACUAAUAUGUGGAGGAACAUAGGCAUCCCUACUGUAUUGUCAUAACCAAAAAAUAAGGAAUUAGGUGUUUGACAUCAAGACAAACAUCUCUUGGUUCAUAAGAUGGAUAAAUGUCCUACAAGGAUAGGUAUGGAACCCAAUUGAGAAUGAUGAUUGGUACAAGAAACAAUAUAUCACUGUAGAGAGAACAAGUAAUUUUAAACCAAAUAAUGGUACAUUGAAUCCAUGAAGGAAUAAACUCUGAACCAAAGAGUAAGAUAGGUACAAACCUGUUUACCGUGAAAAUUAGUAAACAACCGCUGGUCUUCCAAAUCAAAGAUACUUUGGUUACUCACAGGAUCAACUAGAUUGAUCGUAGGUCAUGUACUAUUGUUUAAAAUUAUAUUUGGGAAAUGAUGAACACUUCAACAUUCAUGUUUGAAGAUUGUAGAAUGUAUAGGAAAGUAUAAAUUGCAAAAUGUAAAGGAAAUUAUAACAAAGGUGCUUGAAAAUAACUUGCAAUGGAAGAUAAAUUCUGGAAAAAGGAUAAAUAAACUUUAAUUGAAAUGUAGAAAAUGGUGUUAUCAAAUGUACAUUCUCAAUGACACUCUUUUGUCAAUACACUAGAUGCUUUGAGUAACUUUGAGUAUUUGUACAGCAAUUGAACACACAGAAAUCCCAACACUAAGACCCAUAUAUAUACUAAGUCGAAAUAACUGCUACCAACGACUUUUCUCCCUGAAAAUGACACGUCUCGCUCUGCAUGUAUUUAAUCCAUUAUAAUGUUCCACGUGUCUUUUUUUGAAACUGGAUAAGGACAAAAUACAAGUAUCUUUCUUUUAUUCAAAUUCAAACAUUUAUGUUGAACACAACCUUAAUAUUGCCUCUAUCGAAUUACUACUCUAAACUUAGAAAUAUUUUUGAGCAAUUCCCUCUUACACAAGAAUCACUUCGACUGUAUUUCUCAAAUAAUAUUUUAGGUCGAAGUCCAGAACAUCUUCAAAGAUAAUUUUCUUUCGCCCAUUGAAUCAGGCUUGACGUCGAAACUUCCAACUAACAAAUUACCCCCCAAAAAUGUAUUUUUCGACAUAACGAAGAAAAUGACAUUUUUUUGAAAAUCCAAUUCGCUGUCACAAUCUGUUCACUUGCUAUGACGUCACAACUAUGAUGAUAACUUUUAUAAAACGUCUCUUCAAAACCCAUGUGAGAAUCUUUAUGCAAUCCUCACGCCUCCAAGUCCCUUAGAGAUUGUGGCUAGCCUUUAACUUCCACCGUUCAUCAUGAUUACUCCAACUGACAUGCUUCCCACUUUCUUUUCAACCAUUAAUGCUUGACAAAAACCGCUUCCACUUCAGCAGCUUAUAAAUAUGUAUAUUCAACAUUUUCCAACUUUUUAUCAUUUUGAACUUCCUCAAAAACAAUAUCUUCCACUCUUUAUAUUCCUCAAACAAAAACCAAUUUUGUUUCUUCUUUCAAUGUCUCUGCAACAAUGGCAUCAUCCGCAAAAACUACCAAAGAAUUAACAAAGUGAUAACGCGAAAAUACAUCGUAUAUUUGCCUUGAUUUACACUCAAAAAUCGUAACACUUUCAUUUAUAUUCCGAUUAUUUUGCAAGUGUUCGAGUUAUUUUUGCAGGUAUUUCAAUCCCCAUGCUUAAAUGAGCAAAGUAUAGAAAAGGAAGGAAAAGAAGAAGAAAUAGAAGAGAAAGCAACAGAAAAACAGAAAAACAAAGAACACAAAAAUUGUGGAUGUGACGACCGUCACAAAUCAUGUCACGACCGGCACGCCCAGCCUGUCACGCGGCCAAAAUCAGCGCCUUGGAACAGUCAACAGAAGUGACCCAAUAGGCCUAAAUUCUCGUUGGUCAGCCACUUGCCUGUGAUUUACUCACUCAAACAAGUCAUCCUUGUUUCUCUCAACUGCCAAGACCUAAUGGGGGAAUAUAAAAAUACGUAAGUUGGAAACACUGGGGACGCUUAACUUUUCUCUUUGAAGCCAGCUUUGAAGACCUUUUUCUCUCUGUAUUUUUUCACAGCAAUUCUAUUUUGUCUUUUACUUUUCUUCAGCAACAUUAAUUUUCUUUUACCGUUCAGAGCUUUGAUUUUCCCUUUUUCCUUUCCACCUUUCAUUUAGCCAAAGUAGUAGUUUCCUACACUGGGGAACUACUACAAUUUAUUUAAUUUAGUUUAAGCUAUUAUUUCGAAGAGGCAGAAUCCUACCGACCUGUGGAGGACUGCUCAAGUACUUCAAUUUAGCCAAAGUAGUAGUUUCCUACACUGGGGAACUACUACAAUUUAUUUAAUUUAGUUUAAGCUAUUAUUUCGAAGAGGCAGAAUCCUACCGACCUGUGGAGGACUGCUCAAGUACUUCAAGAUUCGUUAUAUUCUAUUAAUCCAAUUUCCAGGUUUUUAUUCAAUUGUUAUUGUUUUAUUAUUAUUGUAAUCAUGUCUGUUUUAUUGUUGAUCUGCUUAUGUUCGUCUGUGUUUGCAUUGUUUAACAUGUCUGGCUAAACUACCAGUAUCGAUAUGUAACAAUUUAAUUAGACGGGAUUUAAUAAUAAUCGGUGUAAAACUUCUUUCCUCAAACAAUCUUUUUGGCUGUGGUUUUUAAUUUAAAUUUAAUUAACUUUGUUACAAGAGUGAGAAGCUAUUUAAUACGAUUUUUCCACGAGAGUAGGAAAUUAACCAAGGUGAGAACCAACAAUAGCGAGAGCGUGAUGGUCGAACUGGAUAGUAAAAACUAGGCAUUGAUUUUAAAAACAGCGAGAGCACUUUAAAAGCAAUUAGAACUUAUUUAUUUUCAAAAAGUAUUUUUAACUUCAAAUGGGACAGCUAUAGUAAAAACUAGGCAUUGAUUUUAAAAACAGCGAGAGCACUUUAAAAGCAAUUAGAACUUAUUUAUUUUCAAAAAGUAUUUUUAACUUCAAAUGGGACAGCGAGAGCGUACAUUCUGACUUAAAGGUAUAAUCCGAAUCAACAAUCACGAGAGUGUGAGAUAAAGCCUUUUAAAUAAGUAUUUUCUACUGAAAGAUAUUUGGUACUUAAAUUAUACACUGGUGACUUAUCGAAUCCCUGACGAUUAAUGCGUUGCAUACUGAUAUCCUUCUAUUAAUAUUUUCUUAAAACUCAACUUCCCUUAGAUUUAAUUUUCUUCAACCAAACUUCUAAAAAUCAUUCCCUUAGCUAAACAUAGUAAUGUUGGUAGCAUUAGUUUGACCAUCGGUCCCUGUGGGUUCGAUAUCUUUUAAAACUAAAACGGCUGGACUGUGCACUUGCAGUCAAGUACCCAAUAGACUACAUUCUAUAUACAAUCACAGUAUGUAUCACAAAGAACACAAAAGAUUCUAAGAAAUCUCCAGGUCUUCCUCUUGCUGACAAAAUAUUAGGCCCAAACACUGUAAGUAAUCAAUAAUAUGUACCUGAGCCUCUUACUGAAGAACAAAGAAGAAUUUUCCAAUCGUGGGUAUUGAUCACUAUCUCUAUUUCUGGAAAAACUCAUGUUAUGUUAUGACCAUUAUAAAUUCCAAAUGUUGAUCAUAGUAAGCUCAAGGAAGUCUUCCCAACCUACCAUAGGUACAAACCCAUAGCAUGUGCUAAAAAACCUAAGGUUAGCAAUGAAAUCCAUAAUAAGGAAAACCCUAACCCAGAUAAUCAAGGCAACCCUUCGACUGACAAAUCCAUUAAUCUUACAUACAUGAAUAAUGGUUUUAGGGUCUUUCGAUCCUACCCUUUAUUUAGGGAUCCCUCUGAUUAUCUAGCUUGGUUAGAGAAGAUAGAGAAGAAAAAAUCUCAAGUUUGGAAAGAAAUGGGUAUAUUCGACUUAAUACAGUUGCCGAAAGUAGGAUCUGGCUAUUACCAAACCAUGUUAGUUUCCUCCCUAUACUUUUGGGAUAGUACUCACCAUAAUUUUCACCUCCCUUGUGGAAUGAUGAAGCCCACACUUUUUAAUAUAUCUGUCAUCACAUGGCUUAAACCCACUGGCGAAACUUAUGAUCCAGACUUUUUGUCUAAAGACACCAUUGGUUUCGACACCUCCAGAGCUGCUUUUACCACACAUAUAUCCUACUAUCAUGAUAAAGACAUCGACAAAGUAUUUGACACAGAUCAUAUCUCUUUCCUUGCUUUGUGGUUGUCUCGUUGUGCAUUUUGCUCGAAGUCCCUUCAGGUAGCGAAGAAAUACAUCACCCUGGCGAACCAACUUCAUGUUGGACGCAACGUCUGUCUCAGCGAAAUGAUUUGGGCUAACCUUUGCGAAUCUGUGGGAAAAGGUGUGACUGCUCUCAAAAAUAUCCAGAAGAAAGGGAACUUAUUACUUUCCGUCCCCUUCUGGAUGCUAGAAUUAUGGGAUUUUUUUUAUCCAAAUACCCCUUAUUUUCAAUAAAAUUCCCAAAAUAGCCCUAAUUUCAAAAAAAAAAUCCCAAACUACCCCACUUUUAGGAGGAGGCGCCAAUCCAAUUGGCACCUCCUCUUAAAAUUAAAGAGGAGGCGUCAAUUGGAUUAGCUAGGGCACAUGGUGCAACCAAUUCAAUUGGCGCCCAUGUGUUAGUUUUGAGAAGAGGCACCAAUUGGUCUGGCGCCUCAGUGCAAAGUGCAAUUUUUUUGUUGUUAUAAAUAUAGGUGUUGUGUGAAUCAUUUUUCCACAUCUCAUUUCAUCAUUUUGCAAACAUGUUUGGUGUUCGGCGCCGCUAUGGAAAGGUGAUUUAUUCGAGAGACAAACCUCGGAUGUUAAUGCUCUUCUGGAACAUCACUACUUUCGAUCAACUGAAGAGAAAGCUGGUUAGUUGGUUAGAUGGGAAAAUACCAUAAGGGGAAAAAUUAGAUGUAUUGAGAGACUCGAUAGUAUCUUUGGUUGGGUGCGAAUGAAAACUGAUAAGGAUGCUAGGGAAAUGAUGUUUGGACGAGAUGACAUCACUUUGAUUGUUGUAAUCAGUUAGAAAUAUUAUGUUUUCAGUUUCCUUAUGUUGCAGUGAUGUUUGUUGUGAACCUCGUUGUAACAAAAACUUAAUGAUAUAUAAAAAUUAAAGGUUACAAAAAUCCAAUGUUACAAAAAGAUUAUGACUCAGAUGAUGCUCCUCAAUUGGGACAGUUGUUCUUAUUGUGUCUUGGUUGACGACAGAUACUACAUAGUCUUAUCAUUUUAUCUGGCGUAUCCAUUUUUGUCCUGAUACGUGUGCUGGAAAUGUCUCCAUAAUUGCAACAGUUCCUGGCACAUAUGUUUUUAGUGCCCAUAAAAACCGUGGCAAUUCUUUGUAUGAAUCCUCCUAGUUGCCGAAUACAUGUUCAACAACUUUUGUCCUUGCAAUCCAUGCUUUCUUGUAAGAUGGAGUAUAAUUAUAUCUUAUUCUGAUAUGACAUAUCAAUGCAACGCUUAAUUUAUGGUGAUCUUGUUCAACGUUAGUUGCAAUGCAACUGUGAGGUGGGUCUAUUGAAGCUAUCUCCCAAGAGUCUCUUUUCUUUUUGUGAGAUGCAGCCAACCGAAACUUACAAAGGAUGUUAUGACAUUCGAUGACAUACCUUCUCGAAUCAGUGCAUUUCACUAUGAAAUCAGCAGAGUUAUUCAUGUGAAAUUUUUUGGUAGCUUGCACACAUUCUUCUUUAGUGCAGAACAUGUCUUCCACCUUUAACUCGCCUUCUGAUUGUCGAUACGGGUUAUAAAAAACAUUGUUUGAUGUUUCAUCGUCAUGCAGAUCCAUGUUUGUCAUAUGUUGAGGCGGAUUGUAGACAUGACUUGGAGGUAAUGGCUUUGGCUGAUCAUCAUCUUCAAUGUCGUUGUUCAACACAUGAUCGUCCUGUGUCUCAGUCUCUUCUUCUUUAUCAUCAACGAUGUUGACUUCUGCUUCUACUUCUAGUUCGAUGUCAUCUGAGUAUUGUGAAUCAAAUUCAUCAGAUUCGUCCUGAUUAGUUACUUGAGAUUGCUGAGAUGGUAUACUUGGUUGAAGAGUAAUAUACAACUUAAUAUAAUUGCAUCCAGAAUGUUCGUGACUAACAAACAUCUAUUCAACAUCUUCAUCAUCCCGUACCUUUAGAGGGAAAAACUUGCAUUGACUGUUCUAAAAAAAUUGGAUUUUGAUACGUGAUCUUUGACACAUUACCAAAUCCUAUGCAGGAUUGAAUUCGUUUUCUCAAAUGCAAGAAAUUUGCAUUUCUCUUUAUCGUAAGUCGAAUGGUAUCGGUGUUUUGAAAACAAAACCCGUAUAACUCAGACUCGUAUGUCUCACCAUUACAAUGAACAUUGACAUUAUAUUUCGGUGAAGAUGACAUUGUAAUAUUUCUGGUGCAGAUGAAAAUUAAUUUCUUGCUGCAGUUGAAUGUGUGUUGAUUGUUGGAUGUUGAUAGUAAGACACUUAAAUAGGUAAGUGAUUUGUCUAACAUACAAGCAAGUCCGAAGUGAUAUGUCUAACAUGCAAGCAAGUCCGAAGUGAUGUGUCAAACAUGCAAGCUAGACGGAAGUGAUGUGUCCAGCAUGCAAGAGAGAGGAAAGCCACGUGUCACACACGCAAGCGCUGGCUCUAAAUGAAUUGGUGCCUCCUUGCAAUCCUGGCACAUAGGCGUCAUUCCAUUUGGCCACACCAUAUCUUGCAUGCAUGCAGACCUCGUAACCAAUCAUGUAGAGCUAGAUGUGUCAGGCAUGAGCCUAGGGAGGCGCCGAUUUGAAUGGCGCUAGCAUGUAGAAAAUGCACAUGGGCGCCAAUUCAUUUGGCUACCACAUGCAAUCACAUUUUUCCAAGCUUCCACACUUUUGCAUAUAAAUAGGAAGGUGACUUUAACAUUUCUUCCACACCAUCACUCACUACUUCCUCUACAACAUCAAAUCUUUCAUCUGCAAUAACCUCUUUCAUCCGCACCAACCUCUUUCAUCUUCGAUAAGAUGUUUAUCCUCACAAUGGGCGAAUCGCACAGAGGAACGUUGCAAACAUAACAACUUAUAUAAGCGUUUAAUUCUUUUGUUAUUUGUCUAGAGUACCUUUUAAUAACAUAUCAACUUAGUAAAGUGUUUUGUUGUUUCUUUUAUAGGAUCUUUCAAGGUUCCGUACUCGGGUCUACGAAUAUGUCCACAUGGACCCAAUGAUUCAACUGUAUGUCGAACUCGCCGGUUUUGGACAUAUAAGCAAAAUUAUGUCUUGGUCGAUGGAUAAUAAAUUCAUUCUUGCGUUAUAUGAAAGAUGGAGUCCUGAGACACACACAUUCUGGUUUCCAACUAGUGACUGUACCGUGAAGUUAGAAGACGUCUACAUGCUAUUGGGACUGCCUAUUGAAGGUAAAGUUGUAAAUGGUAAAACCAACUAUGCGAAUUCAAUUUGCAUGGACCUCUUGGAUACUGAUUUGUUAGAUGAUAACUCAAUAGGUCAAGGUAUACUCCUUUCACACCUUAAGUCAUACUAUAAUAGUUUACAUUUAGAUGAGCAUUCUAUCGAAGAGGCUCGAAUAAUAAAAACUAGGUGUUACAUUAUGCUUUUAAUUGGUUCUUUUUUAUUUUCCGAAGGUAGUGGUUCUAGUAUGCAUGUUAUGUAUUUACCUUUACUAAGACAUGUAGAUAGAAUAGGAAGUUACAGUUAGGGAUCUGCUUGUCUGGCUUAUCUUUAUAGCUUUUUGUGUUAAAAUUCACACAAAGACACAUUUACCUUUUCUAGAUGUGUUGUUUUGCUUCAAGCAUGGGGUUGGUCAAGACUACCGUCCCUAGCGCCCACCAACAACAAC